AUGCAAUGGUGUGGACACUUCCUUACGAGCUCCUUAUAUCUUUCCCAAGCUUCAUAUAAAGAUUUUCCUUCUUGUUGUACAAAUAAUGUGAUCUCUCCUCUUAGUUU
Molecule: small nucleolar RNA, 107 nt
Organism: Abrus precatorius (Indian licorice)
Lineage: Eukaryota; Viridiplantae; Streptophyta; Magnoliopsida; Fabales; Fabaceae
Source: RefSeq, a predicted model, not a curated record